GGACUACUCGGGUAUCUAAUCCCAUUCGCUCCCCUAGCUUUCGUUCCUCAGCGUCAGUAAUGGCCCAGUAAGUCGCUUACGCCACCGGUGUUCUUCCCAAUAUCUACGCAUUUCACCGCUACACUGGGAAUUCCACUUACCUCUACCAUACUCGAGUCUGCCAGUAUCCAGUGCACUACACGGGUUGGGCCCGCGCCUUUAACACCAGACUUAACAAACCACCUACGAACUCUUUACGCCCAAUAAAUCCGGACAACGCUCGCAUCCUACGUCUUACCGCGGCUGCUGGCAC
This 292-nucleotide ribosomal RNA is filed under the name uncultured bacterium. RNAcentral describes it as "partial 16S ribosomal RNA". The record is from RNAcentral.